This 468-nucleotide ribosomal RNA is filed under the name uncultured bacterium. Its description in RNAcentral is "partial 16S ribosomal RNA". It matches the Rfam family "Bacterial small subunit ribosomal RNA", at positions 28 to 507 of the family's 1533-position model. The record is from RNAcentral.
GAUGAACGCUGGCGGCGUGCUUAACACAUGCAAGUCGAACGGUGAAGGCGGAGCUUGCUCUGCUGGAUCAGUGGCGAACGGGUGAGUAACACGUGAGCAAUCUGCCCCUGACUCUGGGAUAAGCGCUGGAAACGGCGUCUAAUACUGGAUACGAGCUGCGAAGGCAUCUUCAGCAGCUGGAAAGAAUUUCGGUCAGGGAUGAGCUCGCGGCCUAUCAGCUUGUUGGUGAGGUAAUGGCUCACCAAGGCGUCGACGGGUAGCCGGCCUGAGAGGGUGACCGGCCACACUGGGACUGAGACACGGCCCAGACUCCUACGGGAGGCAGCAGUGGAGAAUAUUGCACAAUGGGCGAAAGCCUGAUGCAGCAACGCCGCGUGAGGGACGACGGCCUUCGGGUUGUAAACCUCUUUUAGCAGGGAAGAAGCGAAAGUGACGGUACCUGCAGAAAAAGCGCCGGCUAACUACGUG